CGGGUGAGUAAUGUAUGGGGAUCUGCCUGAUGGCGGGGGAUAACUACUGGAAACGGUAGCUAAUACCGCAUAACGUCGCAAGACCAAAGAGGGGGACCUUCGGGCCUCUUGCCAUCGGAUGUGCCCAGAUGGGAUUAGCUAGUAGGUGAGGUAACGGCUUACCUAGGCGACGAUCCCUAGCUGGUCUGAGAGGAUGAUCAGCCACACUGGGACUGAGACACGGCCCAG
This 228-nucleotide ribosomal RNA is filed under the name uncultured bacterium. RNAcentral's name for it is "partial 16S ribosomal RNA". It matches the Rfam family "Bacterial small subunit ribosomal RNA", at positions 103 to 334 of the family's 1533-position model. The record is from RNAcentral.